This is a long non-coding RNA of Equus caballus (horse), 8980 nucleotides long. NCBI's taxonomy places the organism in Eukaryota, Metazoa, Chordata, Mammalia, Perissodactyla, Equidae. The record is from Ensembl.
GGAAAAUGUGCCGUUCUUGGUAACUCAGAAAGUUUCUCAGUCUGCUUUCUGCCUGUAGAAAGUUGCAGGCUGUGAUGGUUAAUUUAUAUAUCAACUUGGCUAGUUCACGGUACCCAGCGGUUUGGUCAAACAUUAUUCUAGAUGUUUUUGUGAAGAAAUUCUUUAGAUGAAAUUAACAUUUAAAUCAGUGGACUUUGAGUAAAGCAGAUUGCCUUUCAUGACGUGGUUGGCCUCAUUCAGUCUGUUGAAGGCCAUAACAGAAAAAAGAUUGAUCUCCUCCAGAGAGAUCAGCAGACGGCCUUCAGACUCAAGCUGCAACACGGACACUUCCCUGGGUCUCCAGCCUGCCUGCUGGCCCUGUAGAUUUUGGACUUACUAGCUUCAACAAUCAUAGUUUGAACAAGGCUGAUUUGUCCAGGAGGGAAUUAAAGGAUGUGAUCAACAAAUUAGCACACGCCGAACUAAAAACCGGUGGAUUUUGCUUCUUCUGACUUCGGAAGUGACUUACUGCUCUGUCGGCUAAUCUCCCCAGCAAGGCUGUUUGCUUUGCAGCUAAGCUCAAUCAGCAUAUCAAUGGGAGUCCAAUCAGGAAAACAGAAACGUCUUGAAAUUGAUCUGUGAUUGCCUUGGCAGGUACAAAAUGGUCAAAUACUGGUGACCUAAUAUGGCUCACCUCAUAUUUCCACCUGUUUCCUGCCAUUGCCUUCCCAAGGCCAAACCCUGCUGGAAUGCAGCUGACAGGGGAGCCCAGCCUGCAGUGCUGAGCAGGGGAAGGAAGGAAAUGCUCUCGGAUCAGGGGGCUGAGGCUCCACGCAGAGGCCGGAAACUUAGAAGAAAUGUCUGGGGCAUCACAGCCAGAUGAAGACUGGGUAGGCUUCCACGAAAAGCGCUUCUCCGAAAGACCCUGGAAAAAGUGCCUCUGCAGGUGGAUUCCUUCCCUAAUUCCCCGCCAGCUGCUCUAAAGUCACUCCUCUAACUCCUGGUGGCUGCAGGUAUUGGUGGAGCAUGUCCAUUGGGGCCACAAGACUCUGGGGAGCUUAGUGCUGUGUGGACAUAGGGUUGGGUGUAGGCCUUCUGUUACUCCCCUGCCAUCUUUCUGUCAUUUGACGUCACAAGUGUAAUUUCAAAUAUUUCUUGUCUGAGAUGUAUGGCUGAGCAGCGGUUUAUAAAAUGUGGUUUGAGGAGGUGUUGUGGGUUGAGUCGUGUCCACCAAAGAGAUAUGUGGAAGCUCUGAACCCCAGAACCUGUGAACAUGUGACCUUAUUUGGAAAUAGGGUCUUGCAGAUGUAAUCACAUUAUGAUGGGGUCACAAUGGAUGAGGGUGGGCCCUAAAUCCAACACCUGGUGUCCUUACAAGAAGAGGGAAGUUUGGACACGGAGAGACACAGACACACAGGCAGAAUGCCAUGCGAUGACAGAGGCAGAGAUCUGAGUGAUGUGUCUACAAACCAAGCAACGUCAAGGACUGCCAGCAGCCCCAGAAGCUGGAAGAGGCAGGAAGAAUCCUCCCUGAGGGCCUUCAGAGAGAGCGUGGCCCUGCUGGUGCCUUGAUUUUGGACUUCUGGCUUCUAGAAGUGUGCGAGAAUAAGGUUCUGUUGCUUGAAGCCACCUAGUCUGUGGUGCUUUGUUUUGACGGCCACAGGAAACCAGUAUUGGAGAUUUGGCCACCCCCGAGACAUGAAGUCAUUGGCAAGCUUGAAAUAUGGACACCUUAUCAUGAUUAAUCCUCUUCCACAUCUAUAAUUCAUAACGUUGAAGAGGAAGCGGAGGAAGAAAGAACUUUUGGAAAGGGGAGGGAAGAAAGUUGGAACAGCUUGAGAAAUAUCCGGCAGAAUUCCAUGGUACAAUGGAGAAACCAUCCAGAAAUCGAGAGCGGUCCUGCUAGAAUCAUCUGGGAGCAAGCUGGGAGGAGUCCUCAGGAGCUGCAGAAAGGACAGCUAAUGAAGAACACUGGGCUGGACACUGGGCAGAGUGGGUGACAAGCUCCUCAAAGCAUUCCUGACUAAGACAAUGUGCAAAAUAAGAAAUACAAAUGGCCAAUAGGAUAUGAAAAAAAUUCAGCUUCAAUGAUAAACAAAGGAAUGGAAUUUGGCAAAGAUGUUGAAAUGAUGAUCACACUGCGUGCUGGUAGGAUGUUGUGAGAUAAGUAUUCUCAUUUCCUGCUGGUGACAUUAUAAACUGGUACGGGGUUUCUCCAAAGAUGUGGAUGAAGCUAUGAAGAGCCUUCAAAAUAUUACUACCCUUUGACCAAGUAAUUUCACUCUUGGGAAUUAUCCAAAGGAAAUAGCAACAAGGACACAGACUUACAUGCAUUGUGAUCCAAACUCCGUAAGAAAGAAAAAAAAAGGUAUCUUCAUAGAUAUGUAGACUGCAGGAAAUAAGACAAAAACGUUUGGAAUUGUUAUCUCUUGUUUUGAGUGAUAUUUUGUUUUUUCUUUUUCAAAUUUUUUAGAAAGAACAUGUUUAUUUGGAAAUUAGGAAAACACAACAAAAGUCACUUAAAAGACUAAUACCACCGAAUGCUCACAUCUCUGUCCUUAGAAUUUUUCUACUUUUGUGGAAAUAACAGCCAAGUAUCUUCAGAGUCUUUGGUUACAGGUCUUUCUUUUCAUUUACUUUUAAAUUUCUCACUGAGAGACAGAAUUUACCAGAGUCAUCCUGUGAAACGCUGGGGGUGACUGCACACAUUCAUAUGCUAUUCGAACUGGAUGAUGGUCCUGGGAGGUAAGGAAAGAUGCUAUUAUCCCCAUUUUACUGUUAGGAAAGAAAAAGAAAGGAACUGGGUGUCUUCCUGAGAGUCAUUCUACCUGUGGGAGGCAGAGCUGGGGCCUGACACAGAUUCACUGAUUCUAAGCCCUGAGCUCCUGUUUCGACACCAGGAUUUCUAUCACGCACGGGAGAAACACACACCCAAUUAGAGCCACAGCUAAAAUUCCCUGUAAUUGCAAAAGAGAGCAAGGAGAGAAGCUGGUUUUAUGUCCAGACCGGAAAAGGGGGAGGGAGGCAACUGCAAGCUGCACAAAUUAUACACAUUCCAAAUGCUUAUUUAUACAAACCCCUCCACUCCACCCUCCACCCACGUCUGUAAUGUAACCAACAUGCAAAAACGAAAAUCUGUUUUUGAGCCAGGUGCCAAAAUAAUCAUUGUUAAUACAGAAUAAACAACAAGUACGUUAUAUUGUUUAGGUCUGCAUCGGGGACUUAGAAGCGUUUGGGAAUUAAAAUUGCGUUUGAUACAUAGGAUGCACAAAAUCACGUUUAUACAAAUGAUGGACAGAAUUUAUUCAAGUGGCUGUGUUCACAUGAGUUUCCAUUCUUUCCACUGACACGUGGUGCCACGACCAAAAUUUAAUUCUGGAAAUUAACUUUUCCCUUAGAGAUGGGUGGAACUGAGUAUACUGUGGGCUACAAUAUUCUUAAAUAAUAUUGUGUAUAUGAAAGAGAUGGUUAAUUAUGAGCAACAGUGGAGUUCUUUAAAACCGAACUAUACAUGACAGAAAGCUGGCAAAUUCCUCUUGAAAGUAACCAGGCACAUAAAAUUGUCUUCUGUGUCAAGUUUUCAGUGCCCCAGCCCACUUCCUGUGCAGCACGGCCCUGCGCGGACAGGGCGUGGGUGAGGAAGGCACUUGGCUUCUGGCCAUUGCUCCUGCCCUAACUAGUUGGCAGCCCUCCCCUCGCUAAACACCCAUGCAAAGCAAACUCAGACCCAUUAGAAGUAAGAGGGUGAGGAUAUUCCAUUUCUUCGUGGACCACUGCUUGAUUUUCGUUAAACUCACUCAGAUUUAUUUUACACCCUGGACACCUGAGUUUGCGCUUAUUUUCAAGUUGUCAAGGAAUCUUUUCAGAAAUGAAAAAACACGGCUGUUCUAUUUACAUAGACCUUUUAGUUUUCUUCUCACUCUCUCCCUGUAAGUUCUUUUCGCCCUCGUUUUCAAUUUAUUACCUUUUAAGUAUCCUUAAGUAGCAGAUGUUUAAACACCUUUUAAUCGGAGAAACUGCAAGUGUAAUUGCUGGGUUUGGCAGGAAGCAGGUCCCGGAGCCCCUGGCCGGCUGAUAGCUGUGUUCUGCAGGCAGUGGCAUCUCACCGUAGAAGCAGCGAGACCGGAUCGCAGCCUCCAGACAUCUUCUGGCAAGUUCUGGAGAAGUUUUGCAAUUAACCAGUGGAAUUGGCAUGAAUUGAAAGGAUGCGUAAGGAAAACAUCAGUUCCUGCUGUCAUACCGGCUUCAAGCUCCAGCACCAGAAACAACGACAACAGCCUCAUGGAGACUAUUUAACCAGCUCCUACAGCUGUGUACAGCAAACAUGGAUCUACUUUGCCAAGUCUUUUCCCAUGAUGCUGAUGCCUCCGCGCAGACCUUCUUGGUGAGGGGCACAGACACACGUCUGGUGACACUCCCUGGGCCCCCACUUGGACACCCCAGAGACAUUCCAGUGCACCAUGAGCAAAACGGAAUUGCCCCUCAAGCCUCACCCGCCAUCCUUAUGUGGCCUCCUACUGCCCUAUACCAAUCAACAGCCCACGCCACCUCCUGGACAUCCUCCCCUCCUUUUUUUCAGCUCCAUCGCUGUCUCUUUGCCCCUCCACCAUGCUGACCAGGACUGUUGCAAGAGACCCUCAACUGCUCUCCUUGCCUCCAUCCUCACCUCCUCGAAUUCCUUCUCUACACUUAAGCCACUGAGCCUUUUAAAAUGCAAAUCUGACUAUGUCACUCUUGGGGCCAAAAGCCACCCAUUGUGUCCAUUGGCCCUUUGGAUGAAAUUCAAAGCCAUAGUCCUGACUUCCUGGCCUGCACAACCUUGACUCCCUCCUCUUGGACCCUAUGUGUCAGCCCAGCCACUCUGAACUUCUUUCUAUAACUUCUGUGCUCACUCCCUUUGCCUGGAAACCACCUCCCCCCACUCCCCACUCUUCUACACCACCCGGGGGGAGCCUUGUCUAUGUUGUCCGUGUCCCGUCGUCACCCCCCAUCACGCCCCCACCGCCCCAGCUCAGUGUGAAUGCCCUUUCGUGAUCCCAUUAGAUGAUGUUGGGGGCUUCUGCUCUGUAUCCCAACUCCUCAAGCCCUACCCCCCUAAUAUAAUAAAAUUCAUGUCCGCUCUGUGUCCUGCCCUCACUUUACUAUAUGGAGUCUCUCUGAUCUGACUUUAAGAGAGGUUGCUGAUGGCUCUUAAACAGGACUCAGGGCCUCCUCUCUUCGACCUCUAAGUAUUGACGUCUGUAGGACCACGUUCUGAGGCCUCUUUUCUUCCCCAUCCAUUCUUUCCCCAGGUAAUUACCUUUUGCAGGUAAUUGCUUUUGGCUUUACAUGUAAUUAGGGUGACAGACCAUCCCCGUUUGCUGGGGACCGAGGGGUUUCCUGGAAUGUGGCACUUUAAGGGCUGAAAACGGGAAAGUCCUGGGCAAACUGGGAUGACGGGGUCACCCUAGUUACCAUCCAAUGCUGGCAAUCCCAAAAAUUCAUAUCUGCAGCCCAGUCUCUCCCCUGAGUGCCAGACAUGGGAAUUGAAUACUUAAUUGGCAUUUCCAUUGUGAUGUGUCAUUGGCAUCUCAAAGCUGAGGUGGCCCAGACAAGGCUGUGGUCCCAGAAAACCUCAUCCCACUGUCACCCAACUCACUAGACUCCACCCGUCCUCAAACAUGCCCAACUGCUUCCCAUCUCAGGACCUUUGCACCUGUCAUUUCUUCUACAGGAAACACCCUUCCCCUCCUCUUCUCUGUUAGCCACUGCUCUUCCUUCUAGUUUCAGCCUAAUUGCCACUUCUUCAUAGAGUCCUUUCUGGACCUAAAGCAGCCCACUUCCCUAUUCCAUCAUAUCACCUGGCUUAUAUUUCUCAUGGCACUUACAACCGGAAAUGAUCUUAUUCAUGGCAUUGCUUACUUGUUUACUGUGGUUCUCUCUCCCUCUACCUGCCUGCCCUCUCUAGGAUGCAAACCCAUGAAGGGAGGGCUUUUGUCCUGUUCAUCUACAAGAGUGCCUGGCUCACAGCAGGCUCAAAAAUUUUGAUGCAUGGAAGAAUUAAUCAAUAUAUUGGAAUAAGAAUGUGUUUGAGAGGCGAAACUGAGCAAUUUUCCUAAAACAAGUUCUGUGUCGGAGUAUAUUAUUCACUGACAAAAUGUUCCCAUUUUUCCCCAUUUUAUUUAAUUAUGCAUCCUCUGUCUCGUGUCUUGACAGGGCAGUUGAUGGUGCAACAGAGCAUUUCCUCGCAGGGUAUUGAUGCAGAGAGCAAAUUGGGAGAAAAUUUGUUGUUAACCCUGGAAAAUAUUCAACAUUUUACUUCAUGACUUGGAGUAAAUGCUCAUGAAUUUUUUUUAAGACUUUACUUUUUAGAGCAGCUUUGGGUUCACAGCAAAAUCAAAGGAAGGUACAGAGAUUUCCCAUUUACCUCCUGCCUCUACACAUGCGUAGCCCGCCAAUUAUCCACAUCCCCACCAGACUGGUUCCUUUGUUACAAUCGAUGAACCUGCAUUGACUCAACAGAAUCACCCAAGUCCAUAGUUUACAUUGGGUUUCCCUCUGGGUGUUGUACAUUCUAUAAUUUGGACUAAUGGGUGAUAAUAUGUAUCCAUCACUAUGUUACCAAAUGGAAUGUUUUCACUGUAUCCUUUGCUCUGCCUAUUUAUCCCUCCCUCACUCCUUUAACCCCGGGAAGGCACUCAUCUUUUCACUGUGUCCAUAGUUUUGCCUUUCCCAAAAUGUCAUAUAUUUGGAAUCAUGCAGUAUGCAGCCUUUUCAGAGUGGCUUCUCUCAGUAAUAUGCAUUUAAGGUUCCUCCAUGUUUUUUCAUGGCUUGAUAGCUAUUUCUUUUUGGCAUUGAAAAAUAUGCCAUUGCCUGGAUGGACCCCAGUUUGUCCAUUCACCUACUGAAUUUUGCAUUCCCACCAGCAAGGCAUGAGAGUUCCUUUGCUCCACAUCCUCACCAGCAUGCGGCGCUGUCAGUGGUCCAGAUUUUGACUAUUCUAAUAGCCCCCCAGUACAUAGUUGUAUAUUCUAGUUGUGGGUCCUUCUGGUUGCGUUAUGUGAGAUGCAGCCUCAACAAGGCCUGAUGAGUGGUGCCAGGUCCGCAUGCAGGAGCUGAACUGGCGAAACCCUGGGCUGCCGGAGCAGAGUGUGCGAACCUAACCACUCGGCCACAGGGCAGGCCCCUCACCUGGCUUUUUUGAAAGGAUGGCAGCUCCUUGGGACGCACCUUCUGGCUCACCACUGUGAUCUCAGCACCUGGUGUAUGGAGACUUCCGAGAACAAGAGUUAAGUAAGCGAGCAAGCCCAUGAAUGGAUGGAGAAUGAACGUGGUCCAGGAAAGUGCUUUGGUCACAUACUUGUUAGAGACUGAAUGUUUGUAUUCCCCGCCCCCCCCCCCAAAUUCGUGUGUUGAAACCCCAACCCAAAACCCAAAAGAGUGGGCCCUGAUAUGAUAGGAUUAGUGUCCUUCAAGAAGAGACACCAGAGAGCUGGCUCUCUGGCUCUCCCCAAGCACACACCCAGAGAAGGCCGGGCGAGGACACAGCGAGAAGGCGGCCAUCUGCAAGCCAGGAAGAGAGCGCUCACCAGGAACCCAACUCUGCCAGAAUCUUGAUCUGGGACUUUCCAGUCUCCUGAACAGUGAGAAAAUGUAUUUCUGUUGUUUAGGUUCCCCCAUCUAUGGUAUUUUGCUAUGGCGGCCUGAGCUGCCUAAUACAUCCUCUGGUAUUCAUUUGGAAUGUGGACUCUGGAGUCACGUGUCCUUGGUCCCUAUCAGCUGGCUGGUUGGCCCACAGUGAAAAUACUUCAGUUUACUAUCCAUAAACGGGAGUGGAAAAUUACCCUAAGAAGUGAUUCUGAAAAGAUUCUUGUUCUUUGUGACAAGUUUUCCAAAAAGAAGUUACAAAAAGAUCGUCUUUAUUUGGGGGAGUUCUUUGAACGGUCUUCUCGUCACUGACUCAAUCCUGCCCGUGUUUGUCUCCACCUCCAGCUCAUCUUUUGGGCGCUUGUUAAACAAAUAAUGUACACGCCCAGGGUUGGAUUUACGAUUUUUAUGCAGAUUGUUAAAAAUAGCACAACUGUGGGCAGAGGAGUGACCACAGGAAGUGAUUCACUUCCUCUGGUCAGCUCCUCUGAUACCUACCAAGCCCUGAGAAAAAGAAAUAAUAGAAGAAGUUCUGUUGGAGGCACGUGGUAGGUCAUCGCUGGACUGGACCUGGCAAUCACGUGGUCUGACAACCGUACUGGACAGACAAGGAGCUUAAAAGCCACCAAGCGCAUAGUGGCUCGCUUAAAGGACACUGGGGGUCUGCUACCAUCUCUUGAUCCCUAUUUUUGCCGGUGGCUAACCCUAUCUAAGUUACGUUUCUGCUUGCCACCAGGGCCAUACGCCUGUGAGGUCUGGGAUCAGGCUGAACGUCCACUCCCCAAUCCCAGUUCUUCACUCUAGCAUGUAUAUGGGGCAGUUGGUAAGAAUGGGCUCUAACUGCAAUCAAGACCCCUUCCCCUCUGCUUUCCGGGAGACAAUGGAGGCUCGUGUUGGGGGUGAGGGUUCCCAUUGGUGGGCCUUGGUUUGCUUCAGUCCAGUUUCAAUAAACCCCUCACAACAGUCCAAACUGUUCGACCUGGUCUUGCCUGUAGACUGUUUCUACUUCUCUUAGAUGAUGGUGUGCCCAGAUGAGAAUAAUUAUAAUGAUCUUGAGCCUUGUCUGGUUUUUUAGAGACUACAUUUUCUCUGGGGUGGUCUCAUUCAUGUGAACCCCCUCUAGAGGCUCUUUGGUGUCCUUUAUUCGAUUUGAUAUCUGGGAAACGGAACAGGGUUCAAAGGACUCACAGGCUGACUUUGAACCUUCCUGGGCCCACCCCCCAGGUCCCCUGCCCCAGCCCGAGAGAUGGGGAAAUACGAUUUUACCCAGGACCUUAAAAGCAGGUGGGGUGUAGAGGGAGCAACUCCCACAUGGUGGGUCUGGGCCCUUGGAAGCCACCAGUUCUCCUUUCUUAUUCUUAGUCUCAGUCAAAGG